RNAcentral lists this ribosomal RNA (490 nucleotides) under Bacillus pumilus. RNAcentral describes it as "bacterial SSU rRNA". It matches the Rfam family "Bacterial small subunit ribosomal RNA", at positions 971 to 1461 of the family's 1533-position model. Lineage: Bacteria; Bacillati; Bacillota; Bacilli; Caryophanales; Bacillaceae. The record is from RNAcentral.
UUACCAGGUCUUGACAUCCUUUGACAACCCUAGAGAUAGGGCUUUCCCUUCGGGGACAGAGUGACAGGUGGUGCAUGGUUGUCGUCAGCUCGUGUCGUGAGAUGUUGGGUUAAGUCCCGCAACGAGCGCAACCCUUGAUCUUAGUUGCCAGCAUUCAGUUGGGCACUCUAAGGUGACUGCCGGUGACAAACCGGAGGAAGGUGGGGAUGACGUCAAAUCAUCAUGCCCCUUAUGACCUGGGCUACACACGUGCUACAAUGGACAGAACAAAGGGCUGCGAGACCGCAAGGUUUAGCCAAUCCCACAAAUCUGUUCUCAGUUCGGAUCGCAGUCUGCAACUCGACUGCGUGAAGCUGGAAUCGCUAGUAAUCGCGGAUCAGCAUGCCGCGGUGAAUACGUUCCCGGGCCUUGUACACACCGCCCGUCACACCACGAGAGUUUGCAACACCCGAAGUCGGUGAGGUAACCUUUAUGGAGCCAGCCGCCGAAG